Molecule: long non-coding RNA, 1728 nt
Organism: Gasterosteus aculeatus aculeatus (three-spined stickleback)
Lineage: Eukaryota; Metazoa; Chordata; Actinopteri; Perciformes; Gasterosteidae
Source: Ensembl
UCAAAAUGCAAAGUACUGCUGCUCUGAUCACUUUACAAGGAGGCUCUGGCUGUCCACCUCGGUCGGGCAGGAGAGACGCCGCGUCCCUCCUUCCUCAGACCACGUGCACUCACGUUGCCACGGACGACGACUCGAAACCCGCCAGGAAACCAGCACAUGAGGAGGAAACCGAGGCGGGUGGUGGCUGAUGGGACCCGUCCUCGUCUCCAUGGAGAUGUCGCCACGCGCAAACAGAAGGGGAGCUGCCGGCGGACUCGAAAAACAACUUCUGAGAAGGAACCCAGUGUGACAGCUUGGACCCGCGUUCUACAGCCACACACUUCUGCCUAAUAAUAAAGCCUCUCCAGUGUCAGAGAGGAUGAAAUCUUCACAACGCCCCCUCACUAUGAAGCUGUGCAAACAAAGCACUGGCUUGCCAGAAGCCAGGCGGAAAAAAACCCCCAUUAAUUCAACUUUUUCAAAUUUGAGCCUUGAUAUGCACACGCAAGGGAUGAUUAAUCAAUAUUUAGAAAUGUGGCAUGAAUAAGGAAAACAAGCUUAAUUAUUAGUCACCCAAAAUAAUUUCUUUGAAGUUUGUCUUCUCCAUGAUUGUUGUAAUUUAACAACCUAAAUUCCAGGUAAAUAAAAUGCAGCUUGGUUAAUGUUCUCCACAGAUCCCUUUCUAACCACGUACCCACCUUCACGCAACACCCACAUCAGCUCGUCCACGAUCUGACCCGUCUGUCUGUCCUAAAUCCCGUCCACCACAAAGACGAGGAGACACCUUCCAUACCACCGAUGCAGCGGACACGUGAAACGCGGAGGAGGAGCAAAGAGCGCGAAAACACUGGCGAGUGCAUCUACCAGCAGUCAACAGCGGUUACUGCAGACGUGACGCCGGUUCCACCAAACCUCACCUGACAACACGGCGUUCAGGCGGGAGAACGCGGCGUUUUCAGCCCUCAGAGUUCUCCCAUGAGCCCCGGGGGGGGGAGGGGGCAGAACGUCGUUACGGCCUGAGCAGAAACUCCGGCGCCGACAGCUGACAGACCGGCCGGAGCAGCAGAGCAGGACGUGUCUCCGGGUACAGCGAGAGGUACUCGACCCUCCCAGGGCGCGUUACUGCAGCGCACAAUAAGUCCGCUCAUGUCUCACCUGUCGCCUCGUAAUGAGCGUGGGAGGAAAGCUCCAGACCUUCUUCUCUAGAGGGUCGAGAUGUGACGGAUGGGAGCGUCCAGCCUCUCACAGCGUUGUGCUGAACCAGACGUGACUGGGAUCUUAAGCGUUACUUCUCUGGACUCAGUUGUGAUGGCUGCGUGUUAGAUGUGACAAUUACAAGCAGAACUUUAUAUGAAAUAGAUGAACUGUGGGUUAAAACAGUGAAACUAGGCGCUGGUCUGAGGACCAGGCCUCGUCUGUCAUCCACCCGAGCAGGUGGGAGGGAUGUCGGAACAGCACAGUAUCACUGAUCCAGGUUCUUAUGAACAAAAAAAUGAUUGAUCGCAAGACUGUGCAAAAGUUUAAUUAAAGAACAAUGUCACAUUCUGACUAAUGGCCUGUCUGAUGAAACCAUCUGCUUCGUGUCUAUUCAUUAACUUAGUUUAUUCAUAAUAACAAGCGUAUUCAAUUUUUUGUGGUCUUUUAUAUACUUUUUGUUCUAGUUUUGACACGUUCCGUUCUGUCGUCUUAUCUUAUUCAUUCCUUUUGAGGUUUGAAUCUUUAAUAAAAAAGGUCUCAUCUUCUCUGUCC